This 738-nucleotide ribosomal RNA is filed under the name uncultured bacterium. RNAcentral describes it as "bacterial SSU rRNA". It matches the Rfam family "Bacterial small subunit ribosomal RNA", at positions 79 to 841 of the family's 1533-position model. The record is from RNAcentral.
UUUACUUCGGUAAGAGCGGCGGACGGGUGAGUAACGCGUGGGUAACCUACCCUGUACACACGGAUAACAUACCGAAAGGUAUGCUAAUACGGGAUAAUAUAUUUGAGAGGCAUCUCUUGAAUAUCAAAGGUGAGCCAGUACAGGAUGGACCCGCGUCUGAUUAGCUAGUUGGUAAGGUAACGGCUUACCAAGGCGACGAUCAGUAGCCGACCUGAGAGGGUGAUCGGCCACAUUGGAACUGAGACACGGUCCAAACUCCUACGGGAGGCAGCAGUGGGGAAUAUUGCACAAUGGGCGAAAGCCUGAUGCAGCAACGCCGCGUGAGUGAUGAAGGCCUUCGGGUCGUAAAACUCUGUCCUCAAGGAAGAUAAUGACGGUACUUGAGGAGGAAGCCCCGGCUAACUACGUGCCAGCAGCCGCGGUAAUACGUAGGGGGCUAGCGUUAUCCGGAUUUACUGGGCGUAAAGGGUGCGUAGGCGGUCUUUCAAGUCAGGAGUGAAAGGCUACGGCUCAACCGUAGUAAGCUCUUGAAACUGGGAGACUUGAGUGCAGGAGAGGAGAGUGGAAUUCCUAGUGUAGCGGUGAAAUGCGUAGAUAUUAGGAGGAACACCAGUUGCGAAGGCGGCUCUCUGGACUGUAACUGACGCUGAGGCACGAAAGCGUGNGGAGCAAACAGGAUUAGAUACCCUGGUAGUCCACGCUGUAANCGAUGAGUACUAGGUGUCGGGGGUUACCCCC